Molecule: long non-coding RNA, 1882 nt
Filed under: Homo sapiens (human)
Lineage: Eukaryota; Metazoa; Chordata; Mammalia; Primates; Hominidae
Description: non-protein coding lnc-SRSF2-9:2
Source: RNAcentral
AAAAAAAGCGCCUAACACCAGGGGCCACUUGGCCCAGGUGGAGCCUCCAUUAAUCACGGGGCUCUCUGUGUUGUGGCCCCAAGGCGGGCAGCCGAUGGCCUCUGCCCGAGCCAAUAUGAGCUGCAGCCUAAUUACAGGGGACGGUGACCCCAGGGAGCAGAGUUCAGGCUCCGGUCACAGCUGCACCCAGGAGCCAGCUGCUUCCCAGACCUGCAGAGCCAGGGGAGAGGUUUGGAGGACCGGCACUGAAUGACAUGAUCCAAAGCGCGCCAAGCUGGGCUGGAGGUGACGGCAGAGCCACAGUGGCCACAGAGCCCCCACGUGAACCUACACGGAUCUGCCUGGUUUAGGUUCUGCUGAACUCCAGGGUGAGGAGGACCUGGUCUCCAUUCUCAAAGACAUGAAGAGGUUGACAAAGAAGAGUCACAGAAGUGACAAGUGUCCUGCUCCCAGCCCCGUUCACACACUCACCCAUCAAGUGUGGCAGGGACAGCCGCCUCUUACCAUCCACCUUGGGACCUGGACCUAAGUGGAGGUUUCUGGAGGGGCAGAUCCAGGGGAAAGGGUCUCCUCAGAAGCAGCCGCCAUUCAGAGGACCUGAGAUGAGAACCUCAUCACGCCCUCAUCAGACAGAGGAGAUCCGCGGUGUCUCCGAGCCUGGUCUCCCACUCCCCACCCAGCAGCGUUCCCUCCGCUCACCCCAAGCUUAGAACAUUCUGCUUCCCCUAAGAUCAGCUGCCGCAGUGGACUGAAUAGUGACCCCCAAAAGACAUGCCAGAGCCCUAGCCCUCGGACCUGUGAAUGUGACAGGAGUUGGAAUAGGGUCUUUGCAGAUGCAAUAAAGGAUCUCAAGAGGAGAGUAUCCUGGAUUUAGGGUGGGCUCUAAAUGCAAUGACAAGCAUCCUUACGAGACACAGAGACACAGAGAAAAGGCCAUGUGAAGACGGAGCAGGGAGUGGCGUGACGCAUCUACAUGCCCAGGAGCACCCGGGAGCCACCAGAAGCUGGGAGAGAGGCCUGGGCCGGAGCCUCCCGCAGAGGCCCCAAAGGAUCAGCCUGGUCGACACCUUGAUUUUGGACUUCUGGCCUCUAGAACCAUCUUCAGCCCCCAAAGUUCGUGGGGCUUUGUUGCAGCAGCCCCAGCAAACUGUCACGGGGGCCCUCCUCCCCUGCUAAGCCUGGUACCCAAAGCUCCCCAGCUAUCUGGGGCUAACCACACUGACCCUGGGACUUUCAGGUCACCCGUGUGUCCCACUCUUCUGCUUAACCUUCAGUGCCUGUGUGGUCACAGCUUCUCUCUCGUGAUAUGAGUCCUCUGGGCCUCUGAGUGCUCAUCUGCCCUGCACUGAAGGCUGAAGUUAAAUCCUGGAGAGAACUGACCCCUCUUGUGGGCAGGGCAGGCACUGUGCCCCCAGCACAGCCAGAGGGUACUGGCUGAAAUGUGUCCCUGUAAAGUGUCUCCCCUAUGCCCGUAUUUUCCUUCCAAGUGGGGAAGCCAGAGAGGCCUCCCCGAUCUUUCCCCCAGCCCCCUGGGGCAGGAAGCCUGUGGUCACCUGUCCGCAAGGAUCAGGUGGACAGACAACUAGCCCCUCCCAGGCCACACCUCAUCAACAGAGGGCCCCUCAAUUCUGCUGGUGGCCUAUGAGAGAAGGAAAAACUGAAGGAGUUGUUUACAGUAAACUCCAAACCCUUGUGCCAGAGAGGCCCAUGGCUGAGCAAGGUACCCCCACCCCCACUGCCCUGAGCUGCCAACUCAGCCCAGCUCAGCACUGUGACCUCUGACCUGCCUGUGGGCCACGGGAGCCUGGCCUGCCAAUCAGCAUCUCCCAGAUACCCAUCUUGUGAAGUCCCCAGUGGCUGAGUGCUUCCCCGCCCUUCCCGG